UGAAUACGAGACGCUAAGGCGUCGAAGUAGUGUAUGUCAUACUUCCAAGAAAAGCUUGCACUGUCAUAGAUAAAAAACGCCUGUACCAUAACCGACACAGGUGGGUAGGUAGAGUAUACUAAGGGGCGCGAGAUAACUCUCUCUAAGGAACUCGGCAAAAUAACUCCGUAACUUCGGGAGAAGGGGUGCCUUAUUCGUAAGGUUGCAAUAACAAGAUCCAAGCAACUGUUUAUCAAAAACACAGGUCUCCGCUAAGUCGUAAGACGAUGUAUGGGGGCUGACGCCUGCCCAGUGCCAGAAGGUUAAAGAAGUUGGUUAGCAAUUGCGAAGCUGAUAACUGAAGCCCUGGUGAACGGCGGCCGUAACGAUAGCGGUCCUAAGGUAGCGAAAUUCCUUGUCGGGUAAGUUCCGACCCGCACGAAAGGCGUAAUGAUUUGGAUACUGUCUCGGAGAGGGGCUCGGUGAAAUAGACUUGUCUGUGAAGAUGCGGACUACCUGCACCAGGACAGAAAGACCCUAUGAAGCUUUACUGUAACUUGAAAUUGAAAUUGGACUUUAUUCGCGCAGUAUAGGUGGGAGGCGUUGAUUAUAAUCUUGUGGGAUUAUUGGAGCCAUCAGUGAGAUACCACUCUUGUAAUGUUAGAUUUCUAACUUUGAAUCAUUAUCUGGUCAAAGAACAGUUCCAGGCGGGCAGUUUGACUGGGGCGGUCGCCUCCUAAACGGUAACGGAGGCGUACAAAGGUUUCCUCUGAACGGUUAGAAAUCGUAUCUAGAGUGUAAAGGCAUAAGGAAGCUUGACUGUGAGACCUACAAGUCGAGCAGGGACGAAAGUCGGUCUUAGUGAUCUGACGGUACUGAGUGGAAAGGCCGUCACUCAACGGAUAAAAGUUACUCUAGGAUAACAGGCUGAUCUCCCCCAAGAGUUCACAUCGACGGGGAGGUUUGGCACCUCGAUGUCGGCUCAUCGCAUCCUGGGGCGGUAGUACGUCCCAAGGGUUGGGCUGUUCGCCCAUGAAAGCGGUACGCGAGCUGGGUUCAGAACGUCGUGAGACAGUUCGGUCCAUAUCCGGUGUAGGCGUUAGAAUAUUGAGAGGAGCCUUCUUUAGUACGAGAGGACCGAGAAGGACAUACCUCUGGUGUACCAGUUAUCGUGCCAACGGUAAACGCUGGGUAGCUAUGUAUGGAGUGGAUAACCGCUGAAAGCAUCUAAGUGGGAAGCCCACCUCAAGAUAAG
RNAcentral lists this ribosomal RNA (1234 nucleotides) under metagenome. Its description in RNAcentral is "bacterial LSU rRNA". It matches the Rfam family "Bacterial large subunit ribosomal RNA", at positions 1564 to 2808 of the family's 2925-position model. The record is from RNAcentral.